RNAcentral lists this ribosomal RNA (170 nucleotides) under Oscillospiraceae bacterium. RNAcentral describes it as "partial 23S ribosomal RNA". It matches the Rfam family "Bacterial large subunit ribosomal RNA", at positions 2753 to 2925 of the family's 2925-position model. Lineage: Bacteria; Bacillati; Bacillota; Clostridia; Eubacteriales; Oscillospiraceae. The record is from RNAcentral.
GUCUGGACGAGAUAAACGCUGAAGGCAUCUAAGCGUGAAACUCCCCCUAAGAUAAGAUCUCCCAUCCAUUGGAGUAAGGGCCGAAGAAGACUACUUCGUUGAUAGGCCGGAAGUGCAAGCACAGUAAUGUGUUGAGCUGAUCGGUACUAAUCGCCCGAGGGCUUGACCUA